UUGGUGAAGUUAAAUACACUGAUGUCGACGGUGUGGGACAGCGGGUUGAAUCUGGAGACGAAGCGUUUCAAUGAUCCAGCAAGCCGUUGGUUGGUUUCGUUCCCGAAAUUGACCAUGCUGAAUUGAACCUCUCAUCGACAAGCAGGGGAGGCGUUGUUGAUCUGACAUUUCGUCAACUUGUCAGGAGGCGAUCCUCGACAGCUGAGGACGAAUUUCACCAGUUCCAGACCAGCAUCCAGUUCAAUCUCCUCCAUCCUAGAUGAUAUUUGUAGCUCGAAUUCCUCAAGCUUUGCGAUCGAAAAUUUCAGCUUCUUACUCUGGUCGAGUUGGUCGAGUUGGUCUAGUUUACCCAGGGUUAGGGAUUUCAGAGAUGGUAGCUUGGAAACAAUCGUGUGAAGUUCAUCCAGAGUCGAUGGAGAAUCCACGAGCUCCAAAUGUUUCAGCAGAGGGGCAUUAAUAUAUAACCGUUGAUGGCCACUUCCAGGUCCCGAAGAAUCAGAGUCUGGAGUUUGGGCGCUGCAAUCUCAACUUCGGAGACGUGGGAAGAACAAGCUUCCAGCCUCUUCAGGUUGGUAAGAUUCGAAAGCUGGAACUUCUUCAAUGGGUUAAUAUCUCUGAAUUCUAGGGUUUCCAGGAAAGGAGCGGUACCUAUCAUAUCCAUGAAGAGUUGCCCGUCGUUCUUGAAUUCGACAUCAUCCAGGUAUAGGAAUCGUAGAGAACUCAGAGAAAGUGGAAAAUCACAGUACUCGCUAUAGGCAAACACGAUUCCCGUCAGCCUAAGAACCGUCGCCGCGGAGUCGGAGAGCGUCCUGAACGGCAGUUCGAGGUAGGCCUUCGCGACGUGGAUGUGGAUUUCUUCUGCUUUCCUAUGAGGCCAAAAUCAGUAGGAGCUCGAGAGCACGGGAGCGGUAGACACAAUCUUCGUUACCUAUGAGAGAAAUCCUGAGAGUUUCCAUGCGGAAUCGGCUGUCUCUGCAAAACCUAUCAAUGGUUGACUCGCAGAAUUUCUUGAGAUCUUGCAUCACUAUGGAAGCGCCGGCGACAGACUCCCCGCGUCGGCGGCGACAAUCCGUGGUCGAACGCCACGACUGGGUACGACCUCCAAACAGUUCGCCAUCGUCUGGAGAGGGCGACAGUUCCGGUUGCUUGUUUCGGGGACUCUAAGAGGCGGAGUAUGUUGCGGAGGACUUCCUCCGGCAGCUCUGAGAUUCGAUCUUUGGUCGAUUUCUUUCGCUUCUUCGCCAUUGAUAACUGCAGGCAGGCUAGGGCUUUCAGCUUUUACGCCUGUUUCACUGUUUGGCUAAAAGUUUAAACUUUAAAAGGACUUUUCAAAAUUCAAAAAUUCAAAUACUGACUGGACCGUUGACC
This 1368-nucleotide long non-coding RNA is filed under the name Linum usitatissimum (flax). RNAcentral's name for it is "long non-coding RNA (LUSI_LNC003638)". The record is from RNAcentral. Lineage: Eukaryota; Viridiplantae; Streptophyta; Magnoliopsida; Malpighiales; Linaceae.